UAGGGAAUCUUCCACAAUGGACGCAAGUCUGAUGGAGCAACGCCGCGUGAGUGAAGAAGGUUUUCGGACCGUAAAGCUCUGUUGUUGGUGAAGAAGGAUAGAGGUAGUAACUGGCCUUUAUUUGACGGUAAUCAACCAGAAAGUCACGGCUAACUACGUGCCAGCAGCCGCGGUAAUACGUAGGUGGCAAGCGUUGUCCGGAUUUAUUGGGCGUAAAGCGAGCGCAGGCGGAAGAAUAAGUCUGAUGUGAAAGCCCUCGGCUUAACCGAGGAAUUGCAUCGGAAACUGUUUUCUUGAGUGCAGAAGAGGAGAGUAGAACUCCAUGUGUAGCGGUGGAAUGCGUAGAUAUAUGGAAGAAUACCAGUGGCGAAGGCGGCUCUCUGGUCCGUGCAACUGACGCUGAGGCUCGAAAGCAUGGGUAGCGAACAGGAUUAGAUACCCUGGUAGUCCAUGCCGUAAACGAUGAGUGCUAAGUGUUGGGAGGCUUCCGCCUCUCAGUGCUGCAGCUAACGCAUUAAGCACUCCGCCUGGGGAGUACGACCGCAAGGUUGAAAC
This 555-nucleotide ribosomal RNA is filed under the name uncultured bacterium. RNAcentral's name for it is "partial 16S ribosomal RNA". It matches the Rfam family "Bacterial small subunit ribosomal RNA", at positions 355 to 900 of the family's 1533-position model. The record is from RNAcentral.